RNAcentral lists this ribosomal RNA (530 nucleotides) under uncultured bacterium. RNAcentral's name for it is "bacterial SSU rRNA". It matches the Rfam family "Bacterial small subunit ribosomal RNA", at positions 979 to 1509 of the family's 1533-position model. The record is from RNAcentral.
CCUUGACAUCCAGAGAAUUUAGCAGAGACGCUUUAGUGCCUUCGGGAACUCUGAGACAGGUGCUGCAUGGCUGUCGUCAGCUCGUGUUGUGAAAUGUUGGGUUAAGUCCCGNAACGAGCGCAACCCCUAUCCUUUGUUGCCAGCGAUUCGGUCGGGAACUCAAAGGAGACUGCCGGUGAUAAACCGGAGGAAGGUGGGGAUGACGUCAAGUCAUCAUGGCCCUUACGAGUAGGGCUACACACGUGCUACAAUGGCGCAUACAAAGAGAAGCGACCUCGCGAGAGCAAGCGGACCUCAUAAAGUGCGUCGUAGUCCGGAUUGGAGUCUGCAACUCGACUCCAUGAAGUCGGAAUCGCUAGUAAUCGUAGAUCAGAAUGCUACGGUGAAUACGUUCCCGGGCCUUGUACACACCGCCCGUCACACCAUGGGAGUGGGUUGCAAAAGAAGUAGAUAGCUUAACCUUCGGGAGGGCGUUUACCACUUUGUGGUUCAUGACUGGGGUGAAGUCGUAACAAGGUAGGCGUAGCGAG